Ribosomal RNA from Cercocebus atys (sooty mangabey), 99 nucleotides. Lineage: Eukaryota; Metazoa; Chordata; Mammalia; Primates; Cercopithecidae. The record is from Ensembl.
AUCUAUGGCCAUACGAUCCUGACCUCAGAUCCUAAGCAGGGUCGGGCCAGGUCAGUACUUAAAUAGGGCACUGCCUGAGAAUAAGGAGGAUGGUAGAUU